UUCCAUGGCAAUGGCGAAGAAGGAAGUCCCUUGAGCCUCGUCUCCUCACGCCGAAGCAUCGCAAAGCCAUCGUUGUAGCAGCAGCUGCUUCAGCAGAGUCGAGGAUUCGAGAUGGGGAUGUUGCGAGGUUGCUGAUUUCGCCGCUGGGUUUUGGAACUGGGCGAGAGGGGCUAUAGCAUUAGAGCAGUUGGAUGGGCGCCGCGUUGCCAAGGAGGGUUGUGUGACAGAAGCGAGAGGCGCGGCGUUGCCGAGCUGUGCCGGUAGACAAGAGCUGAAAAUUGUUGCCGAGAAGAAGAGCCAUGCUGGUGAAGGAAGCUCUUGGCAUCUUUAUUCUGUAAAGCUGGCUGCAGGAAGAUGCAGACAUUGGGACUGAAACAUAAUCAAGAAAGAAAAAAGUUGGAAUUCGCAGUGUUUGUUCUACGUGCCAGGCCACACAAACAUAUUUCGUAUAAAAUCGUUUCUUCUGAAGGAGUCUGAACGAAUCAAUCACAACGUUUCAAACAAAUUAGUCAGAAGUCUCAAUCUGUUGAAUGAUUUGGCCUGUUGCAGCGGCAGGCUUCCUCGUGGAAGCUGGCAAGACUGCAUGGGAUGCGAGCACAAAUCUCAUUCCUGAGAGUGUACCCAGAGGAGUGGCUCGUAUUACUGUCGGAGUUGUGGGCGUAUCUUUGAUUAUUCAUGCUUUAAGAGCAUUCUUCUCAACGGCCCUCUUUAUCAUGCAGGGAAUUGCAGGAUUCAGUUACUUGGCACCUAUACACCUUAACAAAAACAGUGACUCGGGAAGCGCUGGCGGUGUCAAGCCUCCUAAUACAGAGGUUUCACUGGAGGAAGCCCGUCGUAUAAUGGAGACAUACAAAUAGGAUUUUCCACGUUUAACAGUCGGAUCAGAGGGCGCCCCUAAGUUUGAGUUGGGGUCCGAACUAGUCACUGUUGACACUCUUUUGCAUCGAGCUCACGUUCGUUAUACAUUUUUUUUUUAAUUUCUUAAAUUGUUAACUAAGCAGAAGAUAAAACCCCAUCCUUGCACGAGAAUGUCAUGCAUCCGAAUUUCCCCACUGAAUCGACUGUAGCUAAAAGUGAAUAGAUUUUUUUCUACUUUCCACCUCUCCAAGGCUGUAGGGGUAAAGCAGGUCUGGAUCACUGCAUGUAUUUAACCCUGUUAGGAUUAGGGUUUCAGAGUAUGGCAUGCUGCAGUACUCAACUGCUGGGAAGAUCCUACUCUCAACCAAGCCACGCUAUAGUCAACAUUUCCUCUAACGAAUCGUGUUCCUUCAUUGCAGAAACGUGAAAAAGUUGACAUGUGCGAAUGGUGUGUACAAUGCCAAGUUUUGCAGAUUCUGCCAAAGAUGGGUAUCAAUAUUGCACGAUUCACGAUCCAAGGCCGUGAGUCAGAUCCAAGCCCGCAACAGAGAAAACCCUGGCACAACAUCAACAGAACCCAAAGCAGACGGAGGACAUAACCAUCAUCCUGGUGUGAGCAGUUAAUGGAACUGCAUGUAGCUCACCUCAAGUGGAGGCAAGUGGGAUGCGCAACCAGAGCAGCGCUGUUCAUUGGGCUUCCUCAACUUGUGGGUGGCUUAAUCUGCCUCAACGACGUGUCAGGAAAAAGACAAUCCAACAAACCAACGAAGCAACAAACAAACUCCACCAGGUUUGCUGCGCAUCAUAGAUAACGCACUGAUUCGUUUUAUUCUUCACAGAACAACCAAUGAACCAAAAACAAUAAAAAUAAAAAUAAAAUGAAAAGUUGGAAGUAUCUGCAGCACACCUUGCCGACGUGAUUGGUGUGGGCUAGAGCACAACGUUACCUAUGUAAAAUGCUUAUCGAAACAUUUAAGUCAACACUAUAUAUGUGUAUGUAUAUAUAUAUAUAUAUAUAUAUAUAUCUUUAUAUCUGGCAGUUUGUUGUUUCUUUUUUUUUAAACGUAGGUUUAUCUGAAUACUUUUGCAAAAAAAAAAAAAAAAAAAAAAAAAAAAGUCAAAUAUAAGUUAAGCAAUUAGGGUGCUGAAUUGGUUUUUUCAAAGGACUUUAUGUGCUCAAUACAAUUUGAACAUCUACUGACAUCUAGUUGGGAUUUUUUUCA
Physcomitrium patens is the source of this 2081-nucleotide non-coding RNA. The record is from RefSeq and is a predicted model, not a curated record. NCBI's taxonomy places the organism in Eukaryota, Viridiplantae, Streptophyta, Bryopsida, Funariales, Funariaceae.